UUUUCUAUUGAAGGAUGCUAUGCGUGGAACACCAGUUAUGUCCCAAGUAUGGCCUCGCCCUUUGCUGUUGAACUCGCAUCAAGCUAGCUUGCAAAAGUUUCAAGGCACUGCCCCGUUCUUUGGGGCUCCGCCGGUCAUGGCAACCGGGAACCUGCCCAUGGUGAUGCCGAGCCCUGCAACGCUUGUGCAGCCAUUCCAGGCCAUUCAUCCAAUCAUGGUUCCUUCGGCGACCAGUAUGUAUCCAGGCAAAUACAUGUAAACUUGUCAUACCGCUGUGAUUUUUCUGAUUGCUUUGGAAGAAGAAUCUUGGCUUUACCCCUUUGGCUUUUCGGGGUAUACAUCUAAGAGGACUCGCAGUUUUGCCUACCCUGUCAAUUCACCUACUAGUUGCUGGUCAUUGUCCGUCUUUUUAUUGGGAGGACUUGCAACGUUUGCCGUAAGCCAUAGUCGGUGUGGCUUACGGUUUAAUUUUCCGGGAGAGUUCAUGGGAGGAGUUGAUAUGAAAAUAGAGAGGAGAUUGAAGCGAUUCUUUGACUGCCUUGGCGGUAACACAUUUUCACCUGUUCUUUUGCGUUUGCAGAGCAGUAUGUACCGUGAAACAUUGUAAAUGAGUAAGAUAGUGAAGUGGCCCCUUUUCUUUUUCUCCA
Molecule: long non-coding RNA, 647 nt
Organism: Triticum aestivum (bread wheat)
Lineage: Eukaryota; Viridiplantae; Streptophyta; Magnoliopsida; Poales; Poaceae
Exons: 2
Source: RefSeq, a predicted model, not a curated record